AAGAAAUUGCAACUAUGGACAGUGUGGGAAGAGGAGGCACAAGCCCGCACAGAUCCCUGGGAUGCCAGGAGCUCAGCAGGUCUGGGAGGUCGGGGAAGCUUUUUUGACAAAGUGGACUUGAGCCGAUGUAUAAUGGAGCUCCUUGUGCAGGGGACGGGGGAGCUGCUGAGAGGGGAAGCAUCUGUAAAGGCCUGGUGGCAGGAGGUGAUGCCAGGAGUAUGAGCUGCAGAGCAUGGCAUGCAAGGGACAUCUGCAAGACGGGGUAGGAGCAGGGGAGCCCCCCCCCAAGGAUUGUGCUGAGGGUGAGCUUUCUGUCUCUUCAGGAAGCCCUAGAAGGUAUGCCAGCGGUGGGCCAGGCGGCUGGGUUUGCUGUGUGUUUCCAACACAGCAUCUGACUGCCUGUAGGGGCGGGGGACCGUGAGCAGGAGCUGAGUGGGCAGGGCACACCUGGGGAAGAGCCUGUGGGCUGCGUGUCCUCUGUCUUCUCUCUCAUCAGGCCCUGAUGCUCUGCCUCCCUAGGAUUCCACAGUUGUCCCUUGCCCCCUGACGCUGAGUGUCUUCCUCACCUGGGGUUAUGCUAAGCUCUGCUUCUCCUCAUUGCUCAUUGCUAGGUUUCCUGCCAAACCUUCAGAUGCUGGAACUUGAAGGAAACCAGGAAGCCAGCUCUAAAUGGCAGGGGUCUGUAGGCUCUGCAGAUGGUUAGAAGCCCCCUGAAGGCAGACAUGAGGGGUACCCCUCGGUCUGCUCAUCUCUUAAUUCCGCACGCCUGGCAGUGUAUGUCACAUGUGGCGGGGAGCCAGAAUCAGUUGUUGUGAGGUUCCAUGUUAAUAUCCUGCCAGGUCACACUGGGAGUGGGUUGCACCACAGACAGGUAAGCGUCCUUUACGGCACGCAGAGGGGCUGUCCGCACAAGGGAGAAACCAGCAGAAGGGCCGCAUUCCACUCCUGUCUGGGAAAAUCAUGUCCAGCUCUGGAGACAUCUGGUGUGAGCCCAGAGGCUUGGAACAGACAUUCGGUCAUCCUGGAUGCCGUGGCUGUGCCUCAAAAGGUGGACGAUGGUGCCUCUUCAGCUCCACUAGAUCACCUCCCCAGUGGCUUCCUGUCUUCUCCAGAAAACGCAUUUCUCCAACCAGAGUAAAAAGAAGAUCAUGGCCAUGGAAAGAAUAGGUCAAUUAUAGGUGAGCAAUUUGUCCUCUCUCCAAAUAAAGUGUAUACUUUUGAGAGCAGAAUACCGUGUACAAGAGAGCUGGGUCACAUUCAAGUGGGCGAAGAAUCUGGAGAAGAAGCCACAGAAAUAUGGACCCACUGGAUACAGAGUGCAGCAAGGGCUGCGGCUGGGAGCAUGGUACCCGUGGAGCCCCUCCCAACCUGCGCAUGGCUGGCUUCUUUCAGUGCCUUUUCUUUUCAUCUCUGAAAAAAUUAAAAUGUAUCCAGCAUUUAAAAAGGAAAUCAGUUUGUUUAAAAAUCCCAUAACUGCCUUCAAUUCUAUAAUCUUUUGUUUUUCAGCUUUUGCCUAAAACAUAUACAUAUUAUGUUCAUCUUUUAGGAAUGAUUUCCUUAAUAGUCUCUGAAGUUAGAGUCAUGAAAAUACAAAAAAAUAAAAAAUGGUCGAUUUUAUUUGUAAAGGUGAAAUCUAAUAUUCAAAUUGUUAACACUUUUAGAAAAAAAAGAGUUCUUUUUUACUAGCUACCUUAAAUUAUUUGAUGAAAAAAAGUGAAGUACAUAUUUUUCAAAAAAAGAAAUAAAUACAGAAAAAUUAAAAACUCUCUGGGAUCUCCUUUCCCAAUCAGCCCUGAGCUUAAACGGACAGGCUGGAUUAAGACGCUUUCCCAUAGGUUGUGACCGGGGAUUUAUUUGUGGCUCAUAUGUCCCCAAGGAGUCCACCAAAGAAGAAGCGGAGGCCAGACAAAGCAAAAACGGCCGGAAAGGACACAACAGGAAGACACCUCUCUGAGCUGAGGCCAGAGUCUGCAGACUGCAAGAACACUGCUGUUACUAGUCAGUCUACGGGCCGUGGGGACGACGUAGCCAUUGCCUGGUAACUUUUUCAGUGAUCAGAAUAAGAAGAAACUGCCACAUAUUCUUAGAAAAGAAAAAUAAAAUAUUGCCUUUUUUUUUUCUAAAGGGACAAAACUAACCUUGGUCCAGAAUUUUUAUCCAUAAUAUGAAGAAGGACAUUUAAUAGCAAAGCUGCUUAUUUGGGGUCUUAAACAAUUAUCUCAGAGAUUUUAUUCAUACCUCACGAAGUUGUUCACAUACAUACAGUCACACAGACACACCUACAUUCUCAUACACCUGCACUCACAUUCACACACACUAAGAUUGUGCCAGGUUGCAGAUCCUUACCAUGCAGGUGAGCGCCCCAGGACAUCAUUUGAGGUUGAGUCUAGAUCGAAGCAAAUUUAACCGUGGUGGUAACUUAAAAAAAAAAAAGAUAGAGGAGCCAUCACAGAAGACUGGUGGUUAGUAACAAACUUGGUGGAAUUGAUUAAGGUCUAAUAAUUCUUACAUUACAUACAAAACACUAUCUCCAAAUCAG
Saimiri boliviensis boliviensis (Bolivian squirrel monkey) is the source of this 2539-nucleotide long non-coding RNA. Lineage: Eukaryota; Metazoa; Chordata; Mammalia; Primates; Cebidae. The record is from Ensembl.